GCUCAGUAACACGUGGUCAAUCUGCCCUAAGGUGGAGGAUACUCCCGGGAAACUGGGGCUAAUACUCCAUAGAGGAUGUAACCUGGAAUAGUAUAUCUUCGAAAGAUCCGUCGCCUUAGGAUGAGACUGCGUCUGAUUAGGUAGUUGGUGGGGUAACGGCCCACCAAGCCCAUCAUCAGUACGGGUUGUGGGAGCAAGAUCCCGGAGAUGGAUUCUGAGACAUGAAUCCAGGCCCUACGGGGCGCAGCAGGCGCGCAAACUUUACAAUGCGAGCAAUCGUGAUAAGGAAACCCUGAGUGCCUGUUGAUGCAGGCUGUUCAUUAGUUUAAAUUGCUAGUGAAGAAAGGGCAGGGCAAGACCGGUGCCAGCCGCCGCGGUAAUACCGGCUGCUCGAGUGAUGGCCACUAUUACUGGGUUUAAAGCGUCCGUAGCUUGAUUUUUAGGUCUCUUGGGAAAUCUUUUGGCUUAACCACAAGGCGUCUAAGAGAUACCGGAAAUCUUGGAACUGGGAGAGGUAAGCCGUACUUCGGGGGUAGGAGUGAAAUCUUGUAAUCCUCGAGGGACGACCUAUGGCGAAGGCAGUUUACCAGAACAGCUUCGACAGUGAGGGACGAAAGCUGGGGGAGCAAACGGGAUUAGAUACCCCGGUAGUCCCAGCCGUAAACAAUGUGCGUUAGGUGUAUCGGCAACCACGCGUUACUGAUGCGCCGCAGAGAAACCGUGAAACGCACCACCUGGGAAGUAUGGUCGCAAGGCUGAAACUUAAAGGAAUUGGCGGGGGAGCACCACAACAGGUGGAGCCUGCGGUUUAAUUGGAUUC
RNAcentral lists this ribosomal RNA (820 nucleotides) under uncultured archaeon. Its description in RNAcentral is "bacterial SSU rRNA". It matches the Rfam family "Archaeal small subunit ribosomal RNA", at positions 88 to 913 of the family's 1478-position model. The record is from RNAcentral.